AUUUUCUUUGCCCGUAAUUACUGAUUGCUGUUGCUGUCUUUUUUUUCUAACGUCUCUUGUAGUUGUGGCAUACUUCUCCUUGUCUUGGAAUACUGAAGGCUGCUCCAUUGAUUCUGUCAUCGCAUUUGGGAAACAGCAAAUUCUGAUCAUUGAGGAAAGGUAACAAUCAUUCCCUGACUUGUUCCUUCGGGUGAUAUGGUCACUUUUCAUCUGAAUGUCAAGAUGACAAAAUAUAUGAUUGAAUACGUCUUUCAGUAACUCUUAUUAGAAAAAUCCAGUUUGGUCACACAAGUGAUUUACAUUUUUCUGCUUGGGAAGUCUUUAAUGACUAAGAUGAAUGCCAGUAGUGGGUGUUGUACUUGGAGUUGGGAACCCUUCGGUACUACUGAAAGGAUACAGAUUACAGUGCCUGGAAAAGGUGGCAAGCUUUGAAAUAGCGUUUGCCAUCUCUAAAAAGGCAGCCUAGGAAGUUCCUGAUAGAGUUGAGACGGAGCAAUAAGUACAGAUUUUCCUGAGUGUCCCACAGACACGUAAGUCAUUUGGUUCAUAUGUGGGUGGUCUUUGACUUA
This 569-nucleotide long non-coding RNA is filed under the name Struthio camelus australis. RNAcentral's name for it is "lncRNA (ENSSCUG00000011894.1)". Lineage: Eukaryota; Metazoa; Chordata; Aves; Struthioniformes; Struthionidae. The record is from RNAcentral.